RNAcentral lists this ribosomal RNA (402 nucleotides) under uncultured Ochrobactrum sp. RNAcentral describes it as "bacterial SSU rRNA". It matches the Rfam family "Bacterial small subunit ribosomal RNA", at positions 355 to 774 of the family's 1533-position model. Lineage: Bacteria; Pseudomonadati; Pseudomonadota; Alphaproteobacteria; Hyphomicrobiales; Brucellaceae. The record is from RNAcentral.
UGGGGAAUAUUGGACAAUGGGCGCAAGCCUGAUCCAGCCAUGCCGCGUGAGUGAUGAAGGCCCUAGGGUUGUAAAGCUCUUUCACCGGUGAGGAUAAUGACGGUAACCGGAGAAGAAGCCCCGGCUAACUUCGUGCCAGCAGCCGCGGUAAUACGAAGGGGGCUAGCGUUGUUCGGAUUUACUGGGCGUAAAGCGCACGUAGGCGGACUUUUAAGUCAGGGGUGAAAUCCCGGGGCUCAACCCCGGAACCGCCUUUGAUACUGGAAGUCUUGAGUAUGGUAGAGGUGAGUGGAAUUCCGAGUGUAGAGGUGAAAUUCGUAGAUAUUCGGAGGAACACCAGUGGCGAAGGCGGCUCACUGGACCAUUACUGACGCUGAGGUGCGAAAGCGUGGGGAGCAAACA